CCUACGGGUGGCUGCAGUGGGGAAUAUUGCACAAUGGGGGAAACCCUGAUGCAGCGACGCCGCGUGAGUGAAGAAGUAAUUCGUUACGUAAAGCUCUAUCAGCAGGGAAGAAAAGGACGGUACCUGAGUAAGAAGCCACGGCUAACUACGUGGCAGCAGCCGCGGUAAUACGUAGGGGGCAAGCGUUAUCCGGAUUGACUGGGUGUAAAGGGAGCGUAGACGGUGCGCCAAGUCGGGAGUGAUAUGCCGCCGCUUAACUGCGGAACUGCUUUGGAAACGGGCGAACUAGAGUGCGGGAGGGGUCAGCGGUAUUCCUCGUGUAGCGGUUACAUGCGUAGUUAUUAGGCGGCACCCCGGUGGCGAAGGCGGCUUACUGGACCGUAACUGACGUUGUGGCUCGAACGCGUGGGGAGCAAACAGGAUUAGCUACCCUUGUAGUC
RNAcentral lists this ribosomal RNA (440 nucleotides) under uncultured bacterium. RNAcentral's name for it is "partial 16S ribosomal RNA". It matches the Rfam family "Bacterial small subunit ribosomal RNA", at positions 338 to 795 of the family's 1533-position model. The record is from RNAcentral.